UAAUAAUUUUGUUGUAUAUGUAGGUACAAGGAGUGAAAGAACGAGUUGCGGACCCACUGGACUACGCACGGGAACGCACGUUCUGGUACCCCUGCUGAGUUCCAGUACAGGGAGUACGAGUGGCGUUGGCUUCUGACAUCAGAAUUCAACAACCCUCGUAAACAGGUAAUUUAAAAAAAUUAAUUAAUUAAUUUGUCAUUAAGUACGUCCGUUUUUAAAUAUUUUACUAAUAAUUUAUUUUUUCUUUGAAGGCCGUUUCCCGAGCGAACUCUCAAAACCGGCAACGCAACACAAGGAACCAUCAUGGCGAUUCUAGACCGUUCGCUGUCUUCAUGGACGAGGCGGCCAAGGAACAUCCAGAAGUCAACCAGUACGUCUAUACGUACGAGAAUGCAUAUCCUGACUCCUAGGAGGAUAUUGUAAGUCAUCUUACGUUUUUAAAUUUUUAAAUUUACUUAUAUAUAUAUCAAAAUGUUAAUUAAUAAUUUUUUCCUAUCCAUAUAGGCGAAGGUGAGGGAGGCUAGUGACGAGGUGAUGAAUGCUAUAGUGAGGGAGACAUGGCCGGACACGCAGGAGGAAAAGAUGUCCGAAGCCAUGUCCUGGAUCGACACUUCGGAUCCGACGAUUGGGGCGAGGAUCAUGGGCACAGCCUUCCCACCAAGAGCAAACAACUUCUACUGCCGGGGUCUAGGAAAGAAAGGCGAGGGGGUCCUAAAGACCACUCCAGGAUUUUAACGAAAGGCAGCCUUAACCAGCAGCAAGACCACAUCCACGACCACCAGGACGACUCAGCUAGAGUCGAAAGUUCAGAGACUACGAGAACAGCAAGCUGCUCAGGCUGCCUAUAAUGCCUCGCAGGCAGCCUAUGUUGCCGAGAUACAUGUCAUCCAGCAGGCCCAGCAGCAGCAGAUGUUCCAGUACAUACAGGACUUUACAGCUGCCCAGCUUCAGGGACUUCCGGCUCCGCCCAUGCCUACGGCUAUACCGCUACCCCAACCGCCGCAACCUCCGCAGCAACCCCCAGAAGCGGAUAUUAAUUUAGACGAUUUAGAUUUUGUGUAGUUGAUGAAUUAUAUAGUUUUAUGUGCUUGUUGUUGGUUAUAUGGAAUUGUUUUAAUGUAUUUUGCAGCUUGCUUGGAAUGGUAAUUCAGAAAUUUUCGGGGUUUUUUUUUUUUACU
This 1178-nucleotide long non-coding RNA is filed under the name Fragaria vesca (wild strawberry). RNAcentral's name for it is "long non-coding RNA (FVES_LNC004328)". Lineage: Eukaryota; Viridiplantae; Streptophyta; Magnoliopsida; Rosales; Rosaceae. The record is from RNAcentral.